GUAGGUGAACCUGCGGAAGGAUCAUUAAUGGUGCUUGCAGAAAUGCUUGCACGGCGGCGGCCUUAAAACGCGCCAAAUGGCACCCUUUGUUUACGAGUACCGUUCGUUUCCUUGGUGGGCUCGCCCGCCAUAGGACAACCAUUAAACCUUUUGUAAUUGCAGUCAGCGUCAGUAAAAUGUAAUCGUUACAACUUUCAACAACGGAUCUCUUGGUUCUGGCAUCGAUGAAGAACGCAGCAUCUGACUGACU
This 250-nucleotide unclassified non-coding RNA is filed under the name plant metagenome. RNAcentral's name for it is "partial contains small subunit ribosomal RNA, internal transcribed spacer 1, and 5.8S ribosomal RNA". The record is from RNAcentral.